This 401-nucleotide ribosomal RNA is filed under the name uncultured bacterium. Its description in RNAcentral is "bacterial SSU rRNA". It matches the Rfam family "Bacterial small subunit ribosomal RNA", at positions 356 to 773 of the family's 1533-position model. The record is from RNAcentral.
GGGGAAUAUUGCACAAUGGGGGAAACCCUGAUGCAGCGACGCCGCGUGAAGGAAGAAGGUUUUCGGAUUGUAAACUUUUGUCUUUGGGGACGAAUAAUGACGGUACCCAAGGAGGAAGCCACGGCUAACUACGUGCCAGCAGCCGCGGUAAUACGUAGGUGGCGAGCGUUGUCCGGAUUUACUGGGUGUAAAGGGCGUGUAGGCGGGUUUUUAAGUCCGGUGUGAAAUGCCACGGCUCAACCGUGGAAUUGCACUAGCAACUGGAAAUCUUGAGUGCUGGAGAGGAAAGCGGAAUUCCUAGUGUAGCGGUGAAAUGCGUAGAUAUUAGGAGGAACACCAGUGGCGAAGGCGGCUUUCUGGACAGUAACUGACGCUGAGGCGCGAAAGCGUGGGGAGCAAAC